Molecule: ribosomal RNA, 425 nt
Filed under: uncultured bacterium
Lineage: Bacteria
Description: partial 16S ribosomal RNA
Rfam family: Bacterial small subunit ribosomal RNA
Source: RNAcentral
GUGGGGAAUCUUGCGCAAUGGGCGAAAGCCUGACGCAGCCAUGCCGCGUGAAUGAUGAAGGUCUUAGGAUUGUAAAAUUCUUUCACCGGGGACGAUAAUGACGGUACCCGGAGAAGAAGCCCCGGCUAACUUCGUGCCAGCAGCCGCGGUAAUACGAAGGGGGCUAGCGUUGCUCGGAAUUACUGGGCGUAAAGGGCGCGUAGGCGGAUUGUUAAGUCAGGGGUGAAAUCCCAGAGCUCAACUCUGGAACUGCCCUUGAUACUGGCGAUCUUGAGUGUGAGAGAGGUAUGUGGAACUCCGAGUGUAGAGGUGAAAUUCGUAGAUAUUCGGAAGAACACCAGUGGCGAAGGCGACAUACUGGCUCAUUACUGACGCUGAGGCGCGAAAGCGUGGGGAGCAAACAGGAUUAGAUACCCGAGUAGUCC